ACCUGGCUGGCUCAGUCAGUUAGAGCAUGUGACUCUUGAUCUUGGGGUGGUGGGUUCAAGUCCCAUGUUGGGCC
Molecule: transfer RNA, 74 nt
Filed under: Canis lupus familiaris (dog)
Lineage: Eukaryota; Metazoa; Chordata; Mammalia; Carnivora; Canidae
Also listed under: 2 other names
Rfam family: tRNA
About the family: Transfer RNA (tRNA) molecules are approximately 80 nucleotides in length. Their secondary structure includes four short double-helical elements and three loops (D, anti-codon, and T loops).
Source: Rfam by way of RNAcentral